AACGAACGCUGGCGGCAUGCCUAACACAUGCAAGUCGAACGAUGCCUUCGGGCAUAGUGGCGCACGGGUGCGUAACGCGUGGGAAUCUGCCUUUCGGUUCGGAAUAACUCAGGGAAACUUGAGCUAAUACCGGAUAACGUCGCAAGACCAAAGAUUUAUCACCGAAAGAUGAGCCCGCGUAGGAUUAGCUAGUUGGUGAGGUAAAGGCUCACCAAGGCGACGAUCCUUAGCUGGUCUGAGAGGAUGAUCAGCCACACUGGGACUGAGACACGGCCCAGACUCCUACGGGAGGCAGCAGUGGGGAAUAUUGGACAAUGGGCGAAAGCCUGAUCCAGCAAUGCCGCGUGAGUGAUGAAGGCCUUAGGGUUGUAAAGCUCUUUUACCCGGGAAGAUAAUGACUGUACCGGGAGAAUAAGCCCCGGCUAACUCCGUG
This 433-nucleotide ribosomal RNA is filed under the name uncultured bacterium. RNAcentral describes it as "partial 16S ribosomal RNA". It matches the Rfam family "Bacterial small subunit ribosomal RNA", at positions 29 to 507 of the family's 1533-position model. The record is from RNAcentral.